This 301-nucleotide ribosomal RNA is filed under the name uncultured bacterium. RNAcentral describes it as "partial 16S ribosomal RNA". It matches the Rfam family "Bacterial small subunit ribosomal RNA", at positions 508 to 808 of the family's 1533-position model. The record is from RNAcentral.
GCAGCAGCCGCGGUAAUACGAAGGGUGCAAGCGUUACUCGGAAUUACUGGGCGUAAAGCGUGCGUAGGUGGUGGUUUAAGUCCGUUGUGAAAGCCCUGGGCUCAACCUGGGAAUUGCAGUGGAUACUGGGUCACUAGAGUGUGGUAGAGGAUAGUGGAAUUUCCGGUGUAGCAGUGAAAUGCGUAGAGAUCGGAAGGAACAUCUGUGGCGAAGGCGACUAUCUGGGCCAACACUGACACUGAGGCACGAAAGCGUGGGGAGCAAACAGGAUUAGAUACCCCCGUAGUCCCUGUCUCUUAUA